UACAGAGGGUGCAAGCGUUGCUCGGAAUUACUGGGCGUAAAGCGCACGUAGGCGGAUCUUUAAGUCAGGGGUGAAAUCCUGGAGCUCAACUCCAGAACUGCCUUUGAUACUGAGGAUCUUGAGUCCGGGAGAGGUGAGUGGAACUCCGAGUGUAGAGGUGAAAUUCGUAGAUAUUCGCAAGAACACCAGUGGCGAAGGCGGCUCACUGGCCCGGUACUGACGCUGAGGUGCGAAAGCGUGGGGAGCAAACAGG
Molecule: ribosomal RNA, 253 nt
Filed under: uncultured bacterium
Lineage: Bacteria
Description: partial 16S ribosomal RNA
Rfam family: Bacterial small subunit ribosomal RNA
Source: RNAcentral